UAAGUAGGGGGCAAGCGUUAUCCGGAAUUACUGGGUGUAAAGGGUGAGUAGGCGGUUAAAUAAGCCAUAUGUGAAAGUCUGUAGCUCAACUAUAGAAUUGCAUAAGGAACUGUGUAACUAGAGUGCAGGAGAGGUAAGUGGAAUUCCUAGUGUAGCGGUGAAAUGCGUAGAUAUUAGGAGGAACACCAGUGGCGAAGGCGACUUACUGGACUGAAACUGACGCUGAGACACGAAAGCGUGGGGAGCAAACAGG
Molecule: ribosomal RNA, 253 nt
Filed under: uncultured bacterium
Lineage: Bacteria
Description: partial 16S ribosomal RNA
Rfam family: Bacterial small subunit ribosomal RNA
Source: RNAcentral